AUUGAACGCUGGCGGCAUGCCUUACACAUGCAAGUCGAACGGCAGCACGGAGCUUGCUCCUGGUGGCGAGUGGCGAACGGGUGAGUAAUACAUCGGAACGUACCCUGAAGUGGGGGGAUAACGUAGCGAAAGUUACGCUAAUACCGCAUAUCCUGUGAGCAGGAAAGAGGGGGAUCGCAAGACCUCUUGCUUUAGGAGCGGCGAUGCGGAUUAGCUAGUUGGUGAGGUAAAGGCUCACCAAGGCGACGAUCCGUAGCGGGUCUGAGAGGAUGAUCCGCCACACUGGGACUGAGACACGGCCCAGACUCCUACGGAGGCAGCAGUGGGGAAUUUUGGACAAUGGGCGCAAGGCCUGAUCCAGCCAU
This 365-nucleotide ribosomal RNA is filed under the name uncultured bacterium. RNAcentral's name for it is "bacterial SSU rRNA". It matches the Rfam family "Bacterial small subunit ribosomal RNA", at positions 30 to 395 of the family's 1533-position model. The record is from RNAcentral.